UGGGGCCAUAAUCUAAUAGGAUUGGUGGCCUUAUAAGAAGAAAAAGAGAGGGAACUCUCUCUCUGUCUCUCUGCCUCUCCCUCCCUCCCUCCAUGUACACAGACUGAGGAGAGGCCAUGUGAGGACACAGUGAGACAGUGACCAUUUGCAAGACAGGAAGAGAGCUGUCACCAGAACCUGAACCCUGCAGGAACCUUGAUCUUGGACUUUCCAGCCUCCCGAACUAUGAGUUGGCCUAAAAGAAAGGACAGUCCAGUAGCAACAAGCACACCCAGUACGAAGAUCUUGGUUUGUAAUACCAUUCUCUGCUAAAAGGAGUCGGAUUCCUCGGAGAAAGGACUGAUCGUAGGACUGCAGCAAGAAAUACCCAAGAUGAGCCUGGAGCAUCUUGUGGUGCCAGGAAGUAAGGAAGUGCUCAAAGGACGAUGGUCAGGAAGACCAAGAUACCUGGAACGUCAACUAGAAAAAGAAUUAAAGAGAGAAUUUCUACCUUUCCUUUCCAGCUCCAACUUCAGAGAAGAGCUCCAUAUAGAUGUCCUCAGCCAGAAGGGACAAGAACAGAUGAAUGACUUUCUUCACGCUUCUUGUUGGGUGAAUCAGUCAUGCUCCAGGGUCAUGUUAAGUUUGCCACUUUUGUAUAAAAUCACUUAAUAAAUUGAUUGGCA
Molecule: long non-coding RNA, 665 nt
Filed under: Equus asinus (donkey)
Lineage: Eukaryota; Metazoa; Chordata; Mammalia; Perissodactyla; Equidae
Description: lncRNA (ENSEASG00005031573.1)
Source: RNAcentral